This 437-nucleotide ribosomal RNA is filed under the name uncultured Oscillospiraceae bacterium. RNAcentral's name for it is "bacterial SSU rRNA". It matches the Rfam family "Bacterial small subunit ribosomal RNA", at positions 341 to 792 of the family's 1533-position model. Lineage: Bacteria; Bacillati; Bacillota; Clostridia; Eubacteriales; Oscillospiraceae. The record is from RNAcentral.
ACGGGAGGCAGCAGUGGGGAAUAUUGGGCAAUGGGCGAAAGCCUGACCCAGCAACGCCGCGUGAAGGAAGAAGGUCUUCGGAUUGUAAACUUCUUUUAUGAGGGACGAAGGACGUGACGGUACCUCAUGAAUAAGCCACGGCUAACUACGUGCCAGCAGCCGCGGUAAUACGUAGGUGGCAAGCGUUAUCCGGAUUUACUGGGUGUAAAGGGCGCGUAGGCGGGGAUGCAAGUCAGGUGUGAAAACUAUGGGCUUAACUCAUAACGUGCAUUUGAAACUGUAUCUCUUGAGUGCUGGAGAGGUAGAUGGAAUUCCUUGUGUAGCGGUGAAAUGCGUAGAUAUUAGGAGGAACACCAGUGGCGAAGGCGGUCUACUGGACGAUAACUGACGCUGAGGCGCGAAAGCGUGGGGAGCAAACAGGAUUAGAUACCCGGGUA